UCCCGGUCUCCCCCGGUCCCCCCCGCGCUCCGCAGCGCCCGCGGGACCCGCGCCCGCCACCUUACAUAGCCCGGGGCGGGGACACGCCCCCGGCCCGCCUCGGCCAAUGGGAGGCUGCGGGCGUGAGCACCCGGCAACAGGCGGACCAAUGAGAAGGCGGGGGCGUGGCCAGCGGGCGCACCAGGCACCGUGCGCAGGUUCGGGACCGGCAGUGCCCCGGUACCGUCCUGCUGACUGCACAAGUCUGCUGCUCCAGGAAAGCUCAACAGCCAGGGAAGGCCAAUUGCUCAAGAUGUGUUACAUCAGAGGGAGGUUGGCUGCGGACAGCUCCUGCCUUUUUCACCAGCUGGUGCUUUUGGGCAGCCCAGAUUCUCAGGAGAGAAACAGCAGAGACCAUAUAGGGACACUCUGAAGGAACACCUGGGGCAGCUGCACUGUUCAGAGGCGUGGAGGGAAGGUGACUCCCAAGGUGAUCCUGGCCCACAGGAGCUGCCAAUGCUCCAUCAGGAUUUCUGCACUGCAGGCAGAUGGAUGUGGCUUCAGCAAAAAAAAAAAAAAACCAAAAAAAAAAAACCAAAACAACA
Molecule: long non-coding RNA, 584 nt
Organism: Taeniopygia guttata (zebra finch)
Lineage: Eukaryota; Metazoa; Chordata; Aves; Passeriformes; Estrildidae
Source: RefSeq, a predicted model, not a curated record